GCAGAGGCGCGGCCGCCUCUCGGGCUUCCUUCCUAGGGGGCGCUCUGGCUCGCGGGCGCAGGCAAACGCGAGGGCGUGGGACUCUUUGCCCUCUUAGGGCGGAAGGAACGCGGCCAGGCUGAGAAAGGGCGGCCGCGACCCGAGGCGCCCGAGUCAAAGGAGCGGCCCCCCUCUCUCCGAGGGGGUUGGGGGUCCGGACGGCCGGGCGGGUCUCGGCGGGAGCCUGGGCCCCUUGAGAGACUGUGGCGGUGCGGCUGCUCGGUUUCGCGGCUUCUCCGCCGCCGUCGAGCUGGUGUUGCGCCCUUGCUCGCCCUGGAGUCGGACUGUGUAGCGGGGCGCCCUGCGAGUUCCAGGCCCAGUGGGCCUGAGUACCAGACGCGGUCAUGGUUAUCUGGACGCUGCUGUUAUUGUUUCUGAAUCCCGGAACUGGGGCCUGACUCCCUAGAGAGACUGAGGGUGCCGAGAUGAGUUUCCAGUGCUGACCAGUGCAGCUGUAUUUUGCUAAAAGUUAGAAGUGGGUGCUGUCAGUGGUGAAAUAAAAUUAGGACCGAGGCCUUUCCAGUUGGUGCUUACUCAGUCCGUGCUGACCCAUGGUCAGGGCUUGGAGCAGAGCUGUAAGGGAGGGCGGAGUCCUCCAGUAGAGGUCAUUGCGGAGUGGAUCAAAGCAGAAAUAAGCCUCUCGGGCCAGCCCAAGACUUCACUGAAAGCAGUAACAUACCUAAAGCAGGAAUGCCUCAAUCAGGAAUUUAGCCAAGAAACAAACAAACAAAAAAAGCCUGGGAAGUAAAUAAUUUGGCAAGAUCCCUGUCUAAAGGGAAAGUCUCCUGAGCAGGUACAAAACCUAUCUUGUUCUAAUAGUGGAGGUAGUUUGGUCUAUCAAAGUUUUAUGUGAUUCUAUUAAGUCAUACAACUAAACCUAUUAUUCCUUUACUUUUCUCAAUAAGUGCAGUUCUGAAUAUUAUUUUAAUUUCCAUAUGGUUUUUCUACAAUGAGAGAACGGCUUGGCCAAAUGAAAUAAAUAGCCAUUUCCUAUGACAAUUACAUUUUUCACUGUAAAUUAAUACAUUGGUAUUUUUAUUUUUAUACACAAGCUUCUAAUGAACAUGAUUCAGCAUGUCUGGUCCAGUAAUGCAAAGGCUGGACCCUAAACUAAGUGAAUUCACAAAAGAUAAAUACUGCUCUGAGGCCUUUUGGCCAGCAUGUUUUCUAACUCCCCAAUUUUGCAACACCUUCCAACCUCUUUUGCACUGAAAGGAAUUUCUGCAUACAGUCAAGGAUUAAAACAUGGUGAAGAGGGGCACUUGGGUGGCUCAGUCGGUUGAGCGUCCGACUUCAGCUCAGGUCAUGA
Molecule: long non-coding RNA, 1348 nt
Organism: Lynx canadensis (Canada lynx)
Lineage: Eukaryota; Metazoa; Chordata; Mammalia; Carnivora; Felidae
Exons: 3
Source: RefSeq, a predicted model, not a curated record